This 534-nucleotide ribosomal RNA is filed under the name Sporobolomyces pararoseus. Its description in RNAcentral is "Sporidiobolus pararoseus partial 26S ribosomal RNA". The record is from RNAcentral. Lineage: Eukaryota; Fungi; Basidiomycota; Microbotryomycetes; Sporidiobolales; Sporidiobolaceae.
CCUAAGCGUGGAUAAGCCGAAGCUCAUGCAAAAAGCACGCUGCGUUCCUCAGUCCCCCAGGGCGAAUCCAAUAAAGAGCUAUAACACAGCCGAAACUGCUACCUUCUCUCUAUGCUUUUCCGCCCCGAAAAACUGAUGCGGGCCUGCCAAUCGAGUUGCCCCGAAUAGCAAGUAUCACUGCAUGUGUUUCCCUUCCAACAAUUUCACGUACUGUUAACUCUCUUUCCAAAGUGCUUUUCAUCUUUCCCUCACGGUACUUGUUCGCUAUCGGUCUCUCGCCAAUAUUUAGCUUUAGAUGGAAUUUACCACCCAAUUUGAGCUGCAUUCCCAAACAACUCGACUCUUCGAAAGUGUAUCACAAAGUAAUAGGCAUCCGCAUCGUGUACUGGGUUCUCACCACUAUGACGCUCUGUUCCAAGAGACUUGUAUGCGGUCUAUCACGGAAAACACUUCUCGAGAUUACAACUCGGACGUCGAAGACGCCAGAUUACAAAUUUGAGCUUUUCCCGCUUCGCUCGCCGCUACUAGGGGAAU